This 239-nucleotide ribosomal RNA is filed under the name uncultured Prevotella sp. Its description in RNAcentral is "partial 16S ribosomal RNA". It matches the Rfam family "Bacterial small subunit ribosomal RNA", at positions 115 to 355 of the family's 1533-position model. The record is from RNAcentral. Lineage: Bacteria; Pseudomonadati; Bacteroidota; Bacteroidia; Bacteroidales; Prevotellaceae.
CCCUAACCUACCUUACCUAACGAACGUAACUACCGGCGAAAGUCGGACUAAUACCGUAUGAUAUCCUAUGCAGGCAUCUAAUAGGAUUAAAGGUUUAGCGGUAAGGGAUGGGGAUGCGUCUGAUUAGGCAGUUGGCGGGGUAACGGCCCACCAAACCGACGAUCAGUAGGGGUUCUGAGAGGAAGGUCCCCCCACAUUGGAACUGAGACACGGUCCAAACUCCUACGGGAGGCAGCAGC